UUCUUAUUGGAUGAUGACUGUCUCGUGUCAUGUUUUGAUUGAAAUUCAACUCCAUGAAAAUAAAAUACAUUGUUUUUGUCAUUGAUCAAUUAGAACAUGACAUGUGACAGUCAUCAUCC
This is a non-coding RNA of Glycine max (soybean), 119 nucleotides long. Lineage: Eukaryota; Viridiplantae; Streptophyta; Magnoliopsida; Fabales; Fabaceae. The record is from Rfam.